Oncorhynchus keta (chum salmon) is the source of this 1128-nucleotide long non-coding RNA. RefSeq lists it as uncharacterized. Lineage: Eukaryota; Metazoa; Chordata; Actinopteri; Salmoniformes; Salmonidae. The record is from RefSeq and is a predicted model, not a curated record. The transcript is spliced from 3 exons.
AGCCACACACGCACACAGUACCGUACACAUACACACACACAUACUGUACCGUACACACACACACACUGUAACGUGUACACACACACACAUAUACUGUACAGCACACACACACACACUCUUGGUGACCCACAUAAAUGACCUGGCUUCACUAAUAAGUACACUUCACGACAUACCAGGAUGUUUUCUCCAUUUGCUAGCACAUUACAUACAGUUAAUAUAUCUAAUAUAUCUAAUAUAUCUAAUAUAUCUGGCACAUUACAUACAGUUAAUAUAUCUAAUAUAUCUAAUAUAUAUAUGUCUAAUAUAUCUAAUAUAUCUGGCACAUUACAUACAUCUAAUAUAUCUAAAAUAUCUAACACCUCUGAUACAUCUAAAAUAUCUAAUAUAUCUAACACACUUAACCAUUAGAAAGGGGAGGUUCAGCAGGUUCAGGAGGGUAUGGGGCUUGUCAGCAGGUUCAGGAGGGUAUGGGGCUUGUCAGCAGGUUCAGGAGGGUAUGGGGCUUGUCAGCAGGUUCAGGAGGGUAUGGGGCUUGUCAGCAGGUUCAGGAGGGUAUGGGGCUUGUCAGCAGGUUCAGGAGGGUAUGGGGCUUGUCAGCAGGUUCAGGAGGGUAUGGGGCUUGUCAGCAGGUUCAGGAGGGUAUGGGGCUUGUCAGCAGGUUCAGGAGGGUAUGGGGCUUGUCAGCAGGUUCAGGAGGGUAUGGGGCUUGUCAGCAGGUUCAGGAGGGUAUGGGGCUUUCGUACGUAUAGUCAGACACGUGAAUGAAAUAACAUUGUUGUCUACAUGUAACAAUCUACAAUAAACUCUACAGUUUAUUUGUUCAUAUUCCAAUGUACUUUUUUUCAAUGACCCCCGAGUCUGAAAUAAAAUAUCUUCCAAAACAAUAAGUUGAAAAUAAACUGCGAGAUGGACAAGAAAAGCUCAAUGAAUAUCAUUGAAACAGUACUGAAUUUCACAUCCAGUAUACAGUACAAUCUGCAUACCUUAAAGAAUUUGAUAUGCUGAUGUGGUUUUUAUCCUAUUGGCGACCAGAAUCUGAUCUCGCAGGCUGCAGCACAGCCAGACAGGACACUGUCUCCUCUCCUCUCCUCUCCUCUCCUCUCCUCUCCUCUCCUCUCCUCUCCUCUC